UUUACUCCCAUACAAACUUCGGUUGCGGAAAAUUACCGCCGUUGUCUUGCUUGCUCGUAUUUCUCCGUGUGUCUUCUUCCUUCUCGAGAUUUCGGCACUGUGCGGAGAAAUCAGAACUCGUCGUUGAUCCAGAUUUUUGCGUUCUUGGAGGGGAGGCUAGGGCGAAUGGCAAAGUCUUGCAAGGGCCUAGCAACGGAAUUGGUCAAAUGUCUUAGUGAGUGUGACUGCGUUAAGGUUGAGAAGCGGUCAUUUAGGGAGUGUGCUGGGGAAAAGAGUCCAUCAAUAUCAAGCGAAUGCAUUGGUCUGAGGGAAACGUACUUCAAUUGCAAAAGAGGGCAGGUUGACAUGAGGGCCAGGAUCCGGGGGAAUAAAGGCUAUUGAGCAAUGGCUUGUGGGUUCGGAAUAGCGAAUACAUUGACGAGUGGUGGUGUCACAGCAGAGGGGACCAUUCUUCAAUUUUUGAGUGAAUGGUUUCACCAUCAACGACCAACUCUGGAGGCAUAUACAUCAUCUAGCAACAUCAGGGUUUGUAACCUAUUUUUUAGUCAAAUGUUUAGAUUCACAAUUCGAUUUCGUUCACUUUGAGCCGCAAGCCUCAAGCCUCUCGAUUUCUGUCAAAUUCCCAAUCUCAAUGGAAUCCUACGUCACCCCAAACUCGUAGAUGUUUUGGCUUCAUCGAUCAAUCUUUCCUGAAGGACAAUUUCAACCUUGCUUGUGCUUUUGUUUAA
Pyrus x bretschneideri (Chinese white pear) is the source of this 728-nucleotide RNA transcript. It is a transcript of the gene named cytochrome c oxidase assembly factor 5, with no coding region annotated. Lineage: Eukaryota; Viridiplantae; Streptophyta; Magnoliopsida; Rosales; Rosaceae. The transcript is spliced from 4 exons. The record is from RefSeq and is a predicted model, not a curated record.